Molecule: ribosomal RNA, 497 nt
Filed under: uncultured bacterium
Lineage: Bacteria
Description: partial 16S ribosomal RNA
Rfam family: Bacterial small subunit ribosomal RNA
Source: RNAcentral
GAUGAACGCUGGCGGCGUGCCUAAUACAUGCAAGUCGAGCGAACAGACGAGGAGCUUGCUCCUCUGACGUUAGCGGCGGACGGGUGAGUAACACGUGGAUAACCUACCUAUAAGACUGGGAUAACUUCGGGAAACCGGAGCUAAUACCGGAUAAUAUAUUGAACCGCAUGGUUCAAUAGUGAAAGACGGUUUUGCUGUCACUUAUAGAUGGAUCCGCGCCGCAUUAGCUAGUUGGUAAGGUAACGGCUUACCAAGGCAACGAUGCGUAGCCGACCCGAGAGGGUGAUCGGCCACACUGGAACUGAGACACGGUCCAGACUCCUACGGGAGGCAGCAGUAGGGAAUCUUCCGCAAUGGGCGAAAGCCUGACGGAGCAACGCCGCGUGAGUGAUGAAGGUCUUCGGAUCGUAAAACUCUGUUAUUAGGGAAGAACAAAUGUGUAAGUAACUAUGCACGUCUUGACGGUACCUAAUCAGAAAGCCACGGCUAACUACGCG